Long non-coding RNA from Aphis gossypii (cotton aphid), 2268 nucleotides. RefSeq lists it as uncharacterized. The record is from RefSeq and is a predicted model, not a curated record. The transcript is spliced from 9 exons. Lineage: Eukaryota; Metazoa; Arthropoda; Insecta; Hemiptera; Aphididae.
AAAUGGAUUGAUUACUAAUACUUUAAAAUGUCAACAGCAUAAUUCAAGUCUACUAAAGAAUAGCUAAUUGCAUAGAAUUAUAAAAAAUUAACUUUUAUAGUACUGGAUUAGUAGAUUUAGCUUGUUACAAUAUUUCAAUAUCAAUACAACAAACACUUUGUUAAGACAAUAUUUGGAGAAUCCGUUGAUUUCUGAAAUUAUACUACUGUCAACUACAAUAUUAAUUUAUUAUAAACAAUUUAAUUUAAUUUGUAAGUCCAAAUACACCUAAAGCAGAUGUGUUUUAUAUGUUAUUUCAAUUGUACUAUGGAGACAUUCAAAUGAGUAAUAUUUUACAAAAAUGAAUUAUACUGUUAUUGCUGAAUAUCCUUUAAUUCAUACUAUACCCAAAUUGUCUUACAUAAAUAGACAAUUUAUUGAGUAUUGGAUAGUUCUCACUUUUCGAAUCAAUUUAAUUUAAUACCCAUGAAUCUAGUAACUCAUUUUAUAUGCAACAAUGAACAAUAGUAGUACAGUGAAACCUCUAUAAAGUGGAUAACUAUAGGGAAUUAAAAAAUGUCCACUUUAGGGAGAUGCCAUAGAGAAUUGGUUUUAUAAAUAUACAUUUACAUUGAAAUAUUAAUUUAUAAUUCAUCAUAUACAAUAGGUACAUGUUUACACCAUGUGCAGCACACAACUGAUGACCUAACCAUUUGUAAUUUUUCCAAUAAGAAAACAAUUAAGAUAAGAUAAAAUAUGAAUAAAAUGUUCAACAGAUAACUAUAGUAUUUGUAUUGCUUAAACAUUUUUUAUAUGUACAAGUAUUGAGACAGUAUUGUGUUCAUUUAUGAGAGGUGUUGAUAAUAUUCAAGGUCCACUGAAGUUGUAAAGUUUAAAGCAAAUUUGGUUGAAUUAAAUUCUGGCAUAAAUUAUGGAAAGUUUAUAGUAACCAUUUUGAUUGAAAAUGGUGAGAUAAAUAUAUGGAACAAUAUCAGAUUUACAAUCAAGUGAAAGAAUUUUCACCAGUAGGAAGCUACAAUAUUCCCAAGUGACAAAGGCUAUAUUUGAUUGUGAUUAAUAAUACUUUUUAAUGUUAAAUAUCAAUAUUUGUCAAUCAAUUCCAAGAAAAAUGAACUGAUGAGUUUAUUUAUUAACGUGCUCUGACUUUAAGUGAAUAUAAUCUUCUAGUUCAAAGUAUUAAAAUUCUAUAAGUUGUUGGAUUUGAUUCAGAAUGAUAAAGAAAUACAAUUUGGAUUUAAUGCUUCAAAAGACAAUCAAUGAUAGACCAAGUGUCAAAAGAAGGUUUAAGAAGACAUUUGAUAAGGCUGGUAAUGUUUCUAUAGAAAAUGAUAUACCAAAUAUCAAAAAAAAAGUUUAAGAAAACAUUUGAUCAGACUGGUAAUGAUUCAAUAGACAGUGGUAUUUGAUAACAAUUAUAAACCCAUUUAGGAUAUCUUGAAGAAUUGCAUUUUUCCUCACUGCAACAGUACUGGAAUUUCGCGUCCAAUUACAGAUAUAACUGAGGAGCCAAAUGAAAGUCAUUGUGAACAAGGAUCAAUCAUGAAUCAGACUGUUAUUCUUUAAGACUUAUUUACUAUUAUAUAGAAUAGGGAUGGCAAAUUAAAUAAAAUAGAUUAAUAGAUUAAAACAAUGUUAUAAAAAGACUAUUGCAACUAUGUUGUUUUGUGGCUAGUAUAUUAUCUAUGCUUUUAGCAAACCUAGAAUUUAAUUUUUUGAAAAUGUCAAUGAUAAUUGAAAAGUGCUUGUAUUGUGGUUUUUUUUAUUUAUUAUUAAAGUUUAAGUAUAAUAAGUUAGGUAUUUCAAAUUUUUGCUUGCCACAAAUUUGCUAUCUUUAUUCAAAGUACAAAAGUACUUAUAAAAAUAAUACUAUUGUACUUUCCACUGCAGUUCCAGAGGGAAAAAAAAGGUAUAGAGUAGUGCCCAAAGUUGUAAGGGCAUGAACAGACAACAUGAUUUUGCCGUACGACAAAAGUUGGACGGUCUUUACUUACAUAGAGUUAGAUUUAAAUAAACAGACGUUGACAAUUUUUGCCAGACAGUUAGUUCAUCGUAGAAAUCACCGGUCCAACUAAAUUACCACGCUAGAUGUUUUGCGGCUGGCAUACAUCAAAAAUUAUUUACUAUUAUUAAUAUAAAUAUAAAAUGUAUAUCUUGUUUAUGUAAAACAGGGUUUGGUCCUUUAAAAAUAUAAAAUAUUAAUUAUAAAAAUUUAAAUAUCAUAGACCUUUAACAAAAAUAUACAUAACAUUGGUAAUUUUGAUGACUCUA